CGGGCAUUGACGCAAUUGGUUUAGCGUAACUGACUCUUAAUCAGUAAGUUCGGGGUUCGAGUCCCCGAUGCCCGACCA
RNAcentral lists this transfer RNA (78 nucleotides) under Caudoviricetes sp. RNAcentral describes it as "tRNA-Lys". It matches the Rfam family "tRNA". Rfam says of the family: Transfer RNA (tRNA) molecules are approximately 80 nucleotides in length. Their secondary structure includes four short double-helical elements and three loops (D, anti-codon, and T loops). Lineage: Duplodnaviria; Heunggongvirae; Uroviricota; Caudoviricetes. The record is from RNAcentral.